RNAcentral lists this long non-coding RNA (735 nucleotides) under Gouania willdenowi (blunt-snouted clingfish). RNAcentral's name for it is "lncRNA (ENSGWIG00000016383.1)". Lineage: Eukaryota; Metazoa; Chordata; Actinopteri; Blenniiformes; Gobiesocidae. The record is from RNAcentral.
GCAGCAGGUCCCGGAGUCCAAAUAGAUCAAAUUUUCCUGUCAGGUCUCGCCGCUCUCCGUCUCCACGGCAACGCAGGAAGAGUCGCUCUGUGUCUGCUCCAAGAGAGCAGGAAAAACCACGAGGAAGAAGAGCCAACCUUCCUCCUAAAGACAUCCCGCCUCCUUGCCGCUCUUCUUCCUCCUCUUCAUCCUCCAGCUCCUCCUCCUCUUCCUCUGAGGCGGCUCCGCCCCCCGUUCGUCAAGAGUCCGACGUCAACCGCUCUCCACUGCUGGUCACCGUUGUUCAGCAGGUGGACGAGAAGCAGGCGGAGAAGAUGCCCCAGAGCAGCAGCUCCUCGUCAUCGUCAUCAUCCUCGUCUUCAUCAUCGUCCUCUUCCUCAGACAGCUCCGACUCAGAGGCAAAGCCGACUGACAGAACACAAAAUGCCCCGCCUUCUUCCUCAUCUUCCUCCUCCUCUUCAUCAUCAUCCUCCUCCUCCUCUUCUGAUGAUGAAGCUGAAGAAGAGAAAAAGAGGCCGAGACGCGUUCCCGCCGAUUCUCUGAGAGACUCACGCUCGCUCAGUUAUUCUCCUCCUCACCACAUGAGGGCGGCGGCGUCUCCCAGUCGCAGGCACAACAGGAAGUGAUGGGGUCUCUGCAGGAAGUGUCUGCACGUGAUGUGAAGUCUGUCCACGUUUCACGUGUUCGUCGAAGCCGAUUAAUAAAAGUUGUACGUUUUAAGGUGUGGCGCGCUUC